AGUAACGCGUGGGUAACCUGCCUUGUACUGGGGGAUAGCAGCUGGAAACGGCUGGUAAUACCGCAUAAGCGCACAAUGUUGCAUGACAUGGUGUGAAAAACUCCGGUGGUAUAAGAUGGACCCGCGUCUGAUUAGCUAGUUGGUGAGAUAACAGCCCACCAAGGCGACGAUCAGUAGCCGACCUGAGAGGGUGACCGGCCACAUUGGGACUGGGACACGGCCCAG
Molecule: ribosomal RNA, 225 nt
Filed under: uncultured bacterium
Lineage: Bacteria
Description: partial 16S ribosomal RNA
Rfam family: Bacterial small subunit ribosomal RNA
Source: RNAcentral